Molecule: long non-coding RNA, 746 nt
Filed under: Fukomys damarensis (Damara mole-rat)
Lineage: Eukaryota; Metazoa; Chordata; Mammalia; Rodentia; Bathyergidae
Description: lncRNA (ENSFDAG00000030291.1)
Source: RNAcentral
UGGAAAAUAAAAUCUCUUUUAUGUGCAUCGGCAUCCGAGCCAAUCCAUUCCUCAAUUGCUGAAGUUAAAAAGAAGAUUUUUUUUUCUGAUGCAGAAGAUGUUUGUCUUAAAACAUUGAAGAAUGUGGAGUUGGACUCAAAAGGUGUAGCUUUCUCUGACACUAUGGGGCCAUGAGAUGAGAGAUGAGAGUGAAGGGCUGGCCUCAAAGGGAGGAAGCUACUGAGGCUCUUCAGUCUCCCACAGUCCAGAAGGGGCAAGUGUUGACAGCAGCCCCCACGGAGCCAUCACCCUGAGAGUGAACACGGAGCCGGGGCUCUGCCAGCCACCUCUUCCACAGAGAAAUGGCUACAAGACUUCAGAUAGUCUGAGGUCUCACAGUGAGCUUGGACGAGAAUCAUAAACUCUGCUCUUGCCUUGGAGAACGUGCAUCCAGGGUCCAUAUUUUAAUCAAGUCUACAUUUGGAAAAAAAAAAAAGAAACAAUUGAAUAGAUUGUUGGCUAUAUCUCCCACAGGUGUUUUUCAUGCAUCUCAGAGAAUUCCGUGCCUCAGAUUUUGUAGAAUCACCUCUGCACAGUCCAUAGAAUUCCAGAAUGACAGGACAAGAAGAAAGUGUGUGGCGCUUCCUUGAAAUCCAUUAUAUUCUGCAGCGGAGAAACUCAUUUAAAAAGGUAAAAGAGAACAAGAACUUUAACUAGGAUUCAAGUGGAUGAAAUGCCAAGAUAUUUUAUUGUUAUUAAUUUAAGCA